AGGCUUCGCGCUAUCGCAGGUGUCCAGGCGUGCAAGCGCCUGGGUGAAACGGGAAGCCGGUGCGUUGCCACGAGAAAUCGUGUCGACAAGGCCGGCACUGCCCCCGCAACGGUAAGCGAGUUGGGUUCGACACAUCGGCCACUGGGCGUUUGGCCCGGGAAGGCGUGUCGAAUGGCCUGCAAGGGCGCUCGCAAGUCCGGAGACCGGCCUGCGAUACGAGGCAACG
Molecule: non-coding RNA, 226 nt
Filed under: Salinisphaera shabanensis
Lineage: Bacteria; Pseudomonadati; Pseudomonadota; Gammaproteobacteria; Salinisphaerales; Salinisphaeraceae
Also listed under: 1 other name
Source: RNAcentral